CCCCUAGAUGUUCUGGGCCGCACGCGCGCUACACUGAACAGUUCAACAAGUCUUAACCUUGGCCGAUAGGUCUGGGUAAUCUUUGAACGCUGUUCGUGAUUGGGAUAGACCUUUGCAAUUAUGGGUCUUCAACGAGGAAUUCCUUGUAAACGCAAGUCAUCAGCUUGCAUUGAUUACGUCCCUGCCCUUUGUACACACCGCCCGUCGCACCUACCGAUUGAAUGGUCCGGUGAAAUCUCGGGACGGCGGCUUGGUCGCUUGCGUCCGACUGCUGAAACUUGAUUAAACCAUAUCAUUUAGAGGAAGGUGAAGUCGUAACA
This 320-nucleotide ribosomal RNA is filed under the name uncultured eukaryote. RNAcentral's name for it is "partial 18S ribosomal RNA". It matches the Rfam family "Eukaryotic small subunit ribosomal RNA", at positions 1470 to 1796 of the family's 1831-position model. The record is from RNAcentral.